Long non-coding RNA from Sinocyclocheilus rhinocerous, 404 nucleotides. NCBI's taxonomy places the organism in Eukaryota, Metazoa, Chordata, Actinopteri, Cypriniformes, Cyprinidae. The record is from Ensembl.
GCUGAGGGUUUAAGCAGCGGAAACAGCUCUUAAAUACGGACUAGAGGUUUUUCUGACAUGUAUCAUGUAAAAAGCAGUGUUUUUGAGACUUCUCUUGUCUUAAGAGCUGAAGUGAAGUCUGUCUGAUGUUUAACACGCGUCAUUCUGCUUUAGCCUCAGCCUGACGUAAUCCUGAUGACCCUGAAAUUCUGAGUAGUCCAGCACCUUCAUUCUUGUGCAGUUUUUGAAGUCCUUCACUGCAGACAAGAACUGACAGUAUCCCUCCUUCUUACACGCCCUUUCCGCUGACCUUUCCUGUCUACUUUUCUCGGGUCCAGGAGGGAGUGAUGAAGCCUCUCAGUGCUCAGGCCAGUAUGACUAAGAAAGAAUAAGAUUACCUGUGACAUGGGCAGGGGAACUGAGGC